This 2035-nucleotide long non-coding RNA is filed under the name Triticum aestivum (bread wheat). RNAcentral's name for it is "long non-coding RNA (TAES_LNC027423)". The record is from RNAcentral. Lineage: Eukaryota; Viridiplantae; Streptophyta; Magnoliopsida; Poales; Poaceae.
GAUGUUCCUGGAAGAAAAUCAUGAAGGAGCAGCAAAGUUACAAGUACACGUACAUUCUCCAGAUUUAAACGUGUACAUUAUGACAUCAUAUAGUUUACUCCAUCCACUUAUAUGUCAUUAAUCUACACAUACAUUCUCCAGAUUUGAACAUGCACAUUACAACACCAUAAAUUUUACUCCAUAUGCACUUACAGGUCCUAAGUUCAUUGUAAAAAAAGGCCGUUGGAGUCCAACCAUGUGUGCAAGUUUGUAGCAAGUGUUUCACUGAUUUUGUGGAAUAGGUCAAUGAUCGUGGUCGUGGAGGACAUGCUGGAGGAGGUGGUGCCUCAAGUGGUCGAGAAGGUCGACCACCUGAUCUCAUCAAGCAUGACAAUGGCAUCAUGGACAUGCACCGUCAGGGGAAAGAGGCAGUGGCAGGCUGGCAAAUCAGACCAUGGAAUACUUCCUUCCCGCAAUCCUAAUGGACCUGCAAAAACCACAAGAACGCAAUUUGAGACAUGAAAGAGAUCAACUAAGGAUAGCUAGCCGCAAACAAUUUGUGCACAUAAUUAGAGAUAUGUAGGGCGGUCAUUAUUUGUGUGUAGGGGUCUAGUCCUCACCUCUGCCAAGAAAAUUAGACAAGAGAAACUAAAAAUGGACGAGGGGGGAGAAUAUUAGAGUUGAAGGAACACAUGAUCUGGAUUAUCUUAUACCAGUGACUGAAGAAGCAGAAGGGACAAGCAGAUUACUGUUGCUGCUCCCAUUUUUUUCUGAAAGCACGAAAUAAAUGGAACACCGUCCGUUCAUGCAGAAUGGACGAAACCCAAUGGGCAGGAACCCAAUCCUUAUAAGUUCACCGAAAAGAGUUACAAUGUUAAUCAAAUGCUACUUAGAAGCGAUAACAAACUCUUCAAUUGCUAUCAUGAUGCAUAACAAGUUGAAAUAGAUAACAUGUCUUUAUAUUUGCAAAGGCAUGAUAAGGAUGUAGGUAGAUAGCCAACAUGACGUUUAUGUCACAAACUUUGCUUCACAUGCAUGAAACCAACAAUGUAUCUGAACAACAAUUCAAACAUGUCUAAUAACAUGGGGAAGAGUUAAAAGUAGUGGAGGGGAUUAUCUUGUAAACUGGGAUUCUGAUGUACCAAAAAGUAGUGUAGCCUAUGAACCAGCAUCUUGUUUGCUGUAUCCUUCAAAGGAUUUUCCAUUCAUAUCAAUCGCUAUACAUGGCAUCCAGAAAAAUUCAGAUAGUCCUCUGGCAUACGCAAGAAUCUGCACCGAGUGACUUUCACCUGAAUUCCAUUGCCCCCACUGCAAAAGUAGAAAUAUCAUGAAUUCUUAACAGGCACAACUGAAAACUUUGCAUUACAUGUAAAGCGAAUCGACUAACAAAUAGAAGGACCAAGAACAAUGAUACUGUCAGACACUGCUAACAUCAAGAAAAUUAGAGGUAGUACAUGUCACAUUUCUAUGUCUAUUUCCUGAUAUUAAAAAUAUUAUUACUCCAAUAGAUUAAUUUCAAGAUCACAUCAUAAUUUCAACUGCAUAUUUUUUCUCUAACAUGAAAAUCUGAUAAGAACAGAGAUUAACCUGAAGCCAAUUGAAGAUUUACCAAAACUGAAGCUAAAUCUGUUCAUAUGAACCAAGCACCCAACUUGUCUAAUAAUACGAGCACGUAUUCCUUUAUGUAUCAACCAAGUUCCCAACUUGUUGAUUAAAAAGGAGCCUCUGUGUACUAAAUAACAUAGAACACAAGGACACUAACAGUGUAACAUUCAUCAUAAUCCAACCAAUCACCAUUGGCUGCCCCUCUUUGCACCCUAAUUGAUAUUUAUCAUGUAUAACUUUUGGUUUAAUCAUUUGUAUUUUCCUAUUAUAGUCUUUCAUUUCCUAUUUAUUUCCUAAAUUUCUCUCUCAUUGACUCUUUGCUCCUCUUCUCCUCAAGUGUUGAUCGCACUUGCUGCUAGACCUAGUUUGACCCAAAGGAGACAAACAUGAUGUUUGUUUACGCUGUCCUCCCACCCAAUCGAAGGAACGGACCUUGUGUACGCCGAUGGAG